CUCGACCUCUCAAGGACUCAUGGAGUCUCAGCCCGAAUCAGUUUCCAACUUGGAGAACCUGUGUAUGCUCUUAUUAAAUAACUGUAAGAGGUUAAGGGAGGUACUGUCCUUAGCAAAGCUGAAGCAUCUAAGGUUUUUGAACCUAUAUGCGACUGGCAUCAAAGAAGUGCCAGAUGGGAUGGAAUGUUUGGUUAACCUAAAAGAGCUUUAUGUUUCAUCUGCUGAAGUGACAAAUAGGAUAAAUGCUGGUGGUAGCAAUUCCUUAAUGCUUCCUGAUCGUAUUAUUAAGCUGAAAAUGGAGAGAUGCGAGCUGUCAAGCUUACACUGCCUGUCUCGCUUGCAACACUUACAGUCAUGUGAUAUCUAGUGGUGUUACAUAAAGUGGUUGUUGCCGAUAGGAGACAACAGCACCAUAAUUCCGUCUUUACCUUCAAUACGGUAUCUGUUUCUAAUAGAUCUUCCGAAUUUAAGGGGUCUGAGUGAGGGAGUCUUGAUGCCUGGCUCAUUUGCAUGCCUCAGAAACCUGAGUGUCUUGGGAUGCCAAGCAUUGGAGAAUGUCAUGUCAAUUGAAUUGUUUCAGCACCUCCAAUACCUCCAAUACAUCAGUAUUAUGGGAUGCAGUGAGAUAGAGGAGGUGAUAAAGGAGAAGAAGGUGAUAACAACAACAAUAACAAUACCAUCAUCCUACUCAACUUGAAGCGGCUGGAAUUGAUAAAUUUUGGGAAAUUGAAAAGCAUUUGUAAGCGGGUAAUCAUUUGCCCUUCCCUGAUUAUGAUUCAUAUAACUGGUUGUCCUCGGCUGAAGAAGGAUCCUUUUUUGGCAACUCAACAUCUGUUAUGAGAGGAAUUAUCAGAGGAAGCAAAGAGUGCUGGGAUGCAUUGGAGUGGGAUGAUCCCAACACCAAAACACUCCUCCUACCUCUUUUUCAAGAAGAAGAAGAAGAAGGACGUGGAAUGAAAAGAAAAUCAGAACAAGUAGAAGAGAUUGCAUCUACGUCACAGCACCAAUAAUCCAGUUUGGCUUUCUAUGCUUUUUUAAUUUACUUACCUAUUUCUUCGUUUUUUAUUUCAAAUGUAAUGUUACCGAGGAUGUCUUGUCUUCUUCUCUCUAUCUGUAAAUGAUGUCAACGGAACUUUACCACAACUAAUGGGAGAAUCACAUCACACGUUUCGAUGUAGCACACGUUUAUGAAAAGGAUGAAGAGACUCUAGUCCACACAAAUUUUACAUCGU
This is a long non-coding RNA of Magnolia sinica, 1232 nucleotides long. RefSeq lists it as uncharacterized. NCBI's taxonomy places the organism in Eukaryota, Viridiplantae, Streptophyta, Magnoliopsida, Magnoliales, Magnoliaceae. The transcript is spliced from 2 exons. The record is from RefSeq and is a predicted model, not a curated record.